This 535-nucleotide ribosomal RNA is filed under the name Fusarium sp. NRRL 25346. RNAcentral's name for it is "eukaryotic LSU rRNA". It matches the Rfam family "Eukaryotic large subunit ribosomal RNA", at positions 66 to 624 of the family's 3401-position model. Lineage: Eukaryota; Fungi; Ascomycota; Sordariomycetes; Hypocreales; Nectriaceae. The record is from RNAcentral.
CAACAGGGAUUGCCCUAGUAACGGCGAGUGAAGCGGCAACAGCUCAAAUUUGAAAUCUGGCUCUCGGGCCCGAGUUGUAAUUUGUAGAGGAUACUUUUGAUGCGGUGCCUUCCGAGUUCCCUGGAACGGGACGCCAUAGAGGGUGAGAGCCCCGUCUGGUUGGAUGCCAAAUCUCUGUAAAGUUCCUUCGACGAGUCGAGUAGUUUGGGAAUGCUGCUCUAAAUGGGAGGUAUAUGUCUUCUAAAGCUAAAUACCGGCCAGAGACCGAUAGCGCACAAGUAGAGUGAUCGAAAGAUGAAAAGCACUUUGAAAAGAGAGUUAAAAAGUACGUGAAAUUGUUGAAAGGGAAGCGUUUAUGACCAGACUUGGGCUUGGUUAAUCAUCUGGGGUUCUCCCCAGCGCACUUUUCCAGUCCAGGCCAGCAUCAGUUUUCCCCGGGGGAUAAAGACUUCGGGAAUGUGGCUCUCUCCGGGGAGUGUUAUAGCCCGUUGUGUAAUACCCUGGGGGGGACUGAGGUUCGCGCAUCUGCAAGGAU